AGAGACGCACACGACAAACCACGGACACAUGACAGACGCGAACGGCACCAGGACUACACCGGAUCAACGGCUGAGAAUUCACAUCCCACCACGGAGGCGGAGCACCAGGUGGAGGGUAGACUCCUUUUGGAUAUUGUAAUCCGCGAGAGUCCUCCCGUCCUCCAGUUGCUUCCCGGCGAAGAUCAGCCUCUGCUGGUCCGGCGGAAUCCCCUCCUUAUCCUGGAUCUUCGCCUUCACGUUGUCAAUAGUGUCCGAGCUCUCCACCUCGAGGGUGAUCGUCUUACCCGUGAGAGUCUUCACGAAGAUUUGCAUCCCUCCCCUAAGGCGGAGCACCAAGUGGAGGGUCGACUCCUUCUGGAUAUUAUAGUCGGCGAGGGUCCUGCCGUCUUCAAGCUGUUUCCCGGCGAAGAUGAGCCUCUGCUGGUCCGGGGGGAUGCCCUCCUUGUCCUGGAUCUUCGCCUUGACGUUGUCAAUCGUGUCCGAGGACUCGACCUCCAGGGUGAUGGUUUUGCCGGUGAGGGUCUUGACGAAGAUCUGCAUCCCACCGCGGAGACGGAGGACGAGGUGGAGGGUGGACUCCUUCUGGAUAUUGUAAUCGGCGAGUGUCCUGCCAUCUUCAAGCUGUUUUCCGGCGAAGAUUAGCCUCUGCUGGUCUGGGGGGAUGCCCUCCUU
Molecule: long non-coding RNA, 672 nt
Filed under: Elaeis guineensis (African oil palm)
Lineage: Eukaryota; Viridiplantae; Streptophyta; Magnoliopsida; Arecales; Arecaceae
Description: long non-coding RNA (EGUI_LNC001253)
Source: RNAcentral